GAUGAAUGCUGGCGGCGUGCCUAAUACAUGCAAGUCGAGCGAACAGACGAGGAGCUUGCUCCUCUGACGUUAGCGGCGGACGGGUGAGUAACACGUGGAUAACCUACCUAUAAGACUGGGAUAACUUCGGGAAACCGGAGCUAAUACCGGAUAAUAUAUUGAACCGCAUGGUUCAAUAGUGAAAGACGGUUUUGCUGUCACUUAUAGAUGGAUCCGCGCCGCAUUAGCUAGUUGGUAAGGUAACGGCUUACCAAGGCAACGAUGCGUAGCCGACCUGAGAGGGUGAUCGGCCACACUGGAACUGAGACACGGUCCAGACUCCUACGGGAGGCAGCAGUAGGGAAUCUUCCGCAAUGGGCGAAAGCCUGACGGAGCAACGCCGCGUGAGUGAUGAAGGUCUUCGGAUCGUAAAACUCUGUUAUUAGGGAAGAACAAAUGUGUAAGUAACUAUGCACGUCUUGACGGUACCUAACCAGAAAGCCACGGCUAACUACGUG
RNAcentral lists this ribosomal RNA (497 nucleotides) under uncultured bacterium. RNAcentral describes it as "partial 16S ribosomal RNA". It matches the Rfam family "Bacterial small subunit ribosomal RNA", at positions 28 to 507 of the family's 1533-position model. The record is from RNAcentral.